This is a long non-coding RNA of Monopterus albus (swamp eel), 591 nucleotides long. RefSeq lists it as uncharacterized. The transcript has 2 exons. The record is from RefSeq and is a predicted model, not a curated record. NCBI's taxonomy places the organism in Eukaryota, Metazoa, Chordata, Actinopteri, Synbranchiformes, Synbranchidae.
AAGCACAGCAGGCCUACAACCAUGCCCAUGCCUGGACCAGGGCCAGAGUUGAAAUGACCUUUGGCCUCCUGAAGGCACGCUUUCACUGCCUUCACAAAUUAAGGGUCAGCCCUGUGAGGGCAUGUGACAUUACUGUGGCUUGUGCUGUCCUCCACAAUGUGGCCUGCCUGAGGAAGGAGAGGGCCCCCAGAGUGCCACCAGCCAUGGACUGGGACAAUCCGGCAAUCUUCCCUGAUGACGACAGUGGUCGGCUGCUGUGGUGGGGAAAUCCUUUCACAGCAUUAAUGUUCAGGUGAACAUAACUUUUUGAUAUUGUCCAUUGAUGAACACUGUGCCUUGCCAGUGAUGUGCAUUGAUUGGUUUAAUAUUCCUCAUCUUAUGAUUUCAGAUCGUCUGCAAUGCUGACUGUGUGAUCAGCAAUGUUGUGGCAAUCCAUGACUCCAGAAUCUUUCGGGCCUCUGAAAUCUAUCGGCGCCUAUCACAAGGUGAAUUCUCUGGUGUGUUGCUGGGAGACAGGGGGUAUGGCUGCCAGUCCUUUCUCCUAACACCUUUCACAGACCCCCAGGAAGCACAGCAGGCCUACAACCAUGC